AGCGAACGCUGGCGGCAGGCCUAACACAUGCAAGUCGAACGAACCUCUCGGGGUUAGUGGCGGUCGGGUGAGUUACACGAGGGAACGUGCCUCUAGGUUCGGAAUAACCUAGGUAAACCUGUGCUAAUACCCUAUUUGUCCUUCGGGGGUAAGAUUUACCGCCCUUAGAGCGGAUCACGUCUGAUUAGCUAGUUGGUUGAAGUAAUUGCUUACCCAGGCGACGAUCAGUAGCUGGUCUGAGAGGAUGAUCAGCCACAUUAGGCCUGAGACACGGCCCAAACUCCUACGGGAGGCAGCGGUGGAGACUCUUGCGCAAUGGGAGAAAGCCUUACGCAGCCAUGCGGCGUGAAUGAUGAAGGUCUUAGGAUCGUAAAAUUCUUUCACAGAAGACGAUAAUGGCGGUACCCAGAAGAGAAGGCCCGGCUAACUUCGUG
This 434-nucleotide ribosomal RNA is filed under the name uncultured bacterium. RNAcentral's name for it is "partial 16S ribosomal RNA". It matches the Rfam family "Bacterial small subunit ribosomal RNA", at positions 29 to 507 of the family's 1533-position model. The record is from RNAcentral.